CUCUCUCUCUCUCUCUCUCUCUCUCUCUCUCUCUCUCUCUCUCUCCCAGGUGUGCUCAUGGUGAAGCAGGCAGCAGGUGUGUUGCAGGAUAAUCAGCUGAUGAGCUGCAGGUGGAACUGAGUGGUUGGUCUCUGAGAGUCUCCAUAAAAGCAGACUGCAGCCUUCAUUCAAAGCUGGACCAUGGUCUAAUCUCCAUGCAGCUGAUUCCUGCCUGCUGGUCCUGGGAUCUUCUAGCCUGCUGGUCCUGGGAUCUUCUAGCCUGCUGGUCCUCCACUCUACCUUGGAUUGUGUUCUAAUGGAGGAUUCCACCUCUCACCAGCUUCAUCCUGGAAACCACAGGCUUCAUGUGGACGGAACACUGUGGGAGAAAUACCUACCUUCUAUGAACUCUUGGAUGCCAACAACCUUCCAUGUGUUGAGUUCCUGAAAAGGGAGAGAGCUGAGAAAAGCCAGUUGUCAAUGACUGAAUUCCUACUCAUCAUGAGACGGCAGCACGCUGGCAGCAUGUUAAACACGUCCACAUCCAGGAUAUCUCAGGACUGGAGCUAAAAUUACACUGAUUACACCCAGAAGAAGAAGGAGGAAGAUAGGAACAGAACUAGGAGAGAGAUGGACCAACACCUUCAGCUUCUCAGGACCUAAACAUGUUCACAGUCUCAGUUAAGGUGAUAAAUUCACUGUGAAUUCAUUCUGACUCCUCAUGGCACAUAUUUGCUGUUUGUUGAUUUUAAAGACAUUUGUAGUCAUUUUUGAAGUACAUUUUCUCAUUUUUUGGGAGGAAGAUGUUAAAAAAUUGUUCUUGUAGUUGUUCUUUUCAUAGUUGUGGUUGUUAUCAUUAUGGCUGUUGUUGUUUUUGUCCUUGUUGUUGCUGUUCUUGUGGUUGUUUUUUUUGUUCUUGUGGUUGUUCUUAUUAUAGUUGUUGUUGUUCUUGUUGUCAUUCUUGUUGUUGUUAUUUUCCGUGCCGUUGUAGUUCUUGUUCAUGUUUUUGUCAUUGUUGUUGUUAUACUUGUUAUUAUAGUUGUUUUCAUUGUUCUUGUUAUUUUUGUUGUUGUUAUACCUGUUGUUAUAGUAGUUUUCGUUGUUGUUCUUGUUGUUGUUGUUAUUUUCUGUGCCGUUGUAGUUCUUGUUCAUGUUCUUGUCAUUGUUCUUGUUGAUGUUGUUGUUCUUGUUAUUUUUGUUGUUGUUGUCAUAUUUGUUAUUAUAGUUGUUUUCAUUGUUGUUCUUGAUGUCAUUCUUGUUCUUGUUAAUAUAGUUGUUGUUGUUGUUAAUAUAGUUGUUGUUCUUGUUGUUUUUGUUUCUUUGUAUAAGUUGCCUUGUACUUAUAGUUGUUCUUGUUCUAUUAGUUAUUACAGUUGUUGUUUUUAUUAUUAUCGAUGUAAAGUAGUAUUUUUCUGUUAUAAUAUGUCAGGUUUAAAACCUUCACAUGCUAAUUAACAUCAUAACUAGGACUCCAGGCUCUUAGCCCCGAUAUUUAAACGUGUUCGGUUCAUUCAUCAUCCAGUCUCGUUGUUUAUGUCCUGGGAAGA
Molecule: long non-coding RNA, 1526 nt
Organism: Amphiprion ocellaris (clown anemonefish)
Lineage: Eukaryota; Metazoa; Chordata; Actinopteri; Pomacentridae
Exons: 3
Source: RefSeq, a predicted model, not a curated record